This 268-nucleotide long non-coding RNA is filed under the name Homo sapiens (human). Its description in RNAcentral is "HSALNT0329133". Lineage: Eukaryota; Metazoa; Chordata; Mammalia; Primates; Hominidae. The record is from RNAcentral.
GAGUUACUGACUUGUUAAUGACUAGAAUAUGGCAAACAUUAUGGAAUAUCACAUACAACAUCUCAGAGGAACACAGCUUCAGAUAACAGUUUGAUUGCCAUUUCAUGAAAGACCCUGAGCCAGAGGCACCAAAGUAAGCUACAACCGGAAUUCUGAUCCACAGACACUGGGGGAUAAUAAAGGGCACUGAAUGAGCUGUAAAAGGUCAGAAGAAGCCAUCCUGAAGAAACAGCUAAAUAAGUCAUUAAAUUUCUUUAUAUAUCAUGAA